Albula goreensis is the source of this 70-nucleotide non-coding RNA. Lineage: Eukaryota; Metazoa; Chordata; Actinopteri; Albuliformes; Albulidae. The record is from the annotation of a GenBank genome assembly.
GCCUGUAGUCUAGUGGCUAGGUGUAUGGCUGGGACCCUUGAGGUUGUUGGUUCAAGCCCCACUCCAGCCA